This 485-nucleotide ribosomal RNA is filed under the name uncultured bacterium. RNAcentral describes it as "partial 16S ribosomal RNA". It matches the Rfam family "Bacterial small subunit ribosomal RNA", at positions 29 to 523 of the family's 1533-position model. The record is from RNAcentral.
AGUGAACGCUGGCGGCGUGCUUAACACAUGCAAGUCGAACGAGAACGGAAUAUAGCUUGCUAUAUUUGUCAGCUAAGUGGCGCACGGGUGAGUAAUGUAUAGAUAACCUGCCCUUAAGAAAGGAAUAACAGUUGGAAACGACUGCUAAUGCCCUAUAUGCCUUUAAUACAUAAGUAUGCAAGGGAAACGCUUUAGUGCUUAAGGAUGGGUCUGUAUGGUAUCAGCUUGUUGGUGAGGUAAUGGCUCACCAAGGCUAUGACGCCUAACUGGUUUGAGAGGAUGAUCAGCCACACUGGAACUGAGACACGGUCCAGACUCCUACGGGAGGCAGCAGUGGGGAAUAUUGCACAAUGGACGAAAGUCUGAUGCAGCAACGCCGCGUGGAGGAUGACACGUUUCGGUGCGUAAUCUCCUUUUAUAUAGGAAGAUAAUGACGGUACUAUAUGAAUAAGCACCGGCUAACUCCGUGCCAGCCGCCGCUGUAA